AACGAACGCUGGCGGCAUGCCUAACACAUGCAAGUCGAACGAGACCUUCGGGUCUAGUGGCGCACGGGUGCGUAACGCGUGGGAACCUGCACUUAGGUUCGGAAUAACUCCCCGAAAGGGGUGCUAAUACCGGAUAAGGGCUUCGGACCAAAGAUUUAUCGCCUUUGGAUGGGCCCGCGUUGGAUUAGCUAGUUGGUAGGGUAAAAGCCUACCAAGGCGACGAUCCAUAGCUGGUCUGAGAGGAUGAUCAGCCACACUGGGACUGAGACACGGCCCAGACUCCUACGGGAGGCAGCAGUGGGUAAUAUUGGACAAUGGGCGGAGGCCUGAUCCAGCAAUGCCGCGUGAGUGCUGAAGGCCUUAGGGUUGUAAAGCUCUUUUACCCGGGAUGAUAAUGACAGUACCGGGAGAAUAAGCUCCGGCUAACUCCGUG
RNAcentral lists this ribosomal RNA (433 nucleotides) under uncultured bacterium. RNAcentral's name for it is "partial 16S ribosomal RNA". It matches the Rfam family "Bacterial small subunit ribosomal RNA", at positions 29 to 507 of the family's 1533-position model. The record is from RNAcentral.